RNAcentral lists this ribosomal RNA (427 nucleotides) under uncultured bacterium. RNAcentral describes it as "partial 16S ribosomal RNA". It matches the Rfam family "Bacterial small subunit ribosomal RNA", at positions 355 to 774 of the family's 1533-position model. The record is from RNAcentral.
UGGGGAAUAUUGGACAAUGGGCGAAAGCCUGAUCCAGCCAUGCCGCGUGUGUGAAGAAGGUCUUCGGAUUGUAAAGCACUUUAAGUUGGGAGGAAGGGCAUUAACCUAAUACGUUAGUGUUUUGACGUUACCGACAGAAUAAGCACCGGCUAACUAUGUGCCAGCAGCCGCGGUAAUACAGAGGGUGCAAGCGUUAAUCGGAAUUACUGGGCGUAAAGCGCGCGUAGGUGGUUUGUUAAGUUGGAUGUGAAAGCCCCGGGCUCAACCUGGGAACUGCAUCCAAAACUGGCAAGCUAGAGUACGGUAGAGGGUGGUGGAAUUUCCUGUGUAGCGGUGAAAUGCGUAGAUAUAGGAAGGAACACCAGUGGCGAAGGCGACCACCUGGACUGAUACUGACACUGAGGUGCGAAAGCGUGGGGAGCAAACA